This 447-nucleotide ribosomal RNA is filed under the name uncultured bacterium. Its description in RNAcentral is "partial 16S ribosomal RNA". It matches the Rfam family "Bacterial small subunit ribosomal RNA", at positions 29 to 523 of the family's 1533-position model. The record is from RNAcentral.
AGCGAACGCUGGCGGCAGGCUUAACACAUGCAAGUCGAACGCCCCGCAAGGGGAGUGGCAGACGGGUGAGGAACACGUGGGAACGUACCCUUCGGUUCGGAAUAACUCAGGGAAACUUGUGCUAAUACCGGAUACGUCCGAAAGGAGAAAGAUUUAUCGCCGAAGGAUCGGCCCGCGUCUGAUUAGCUUGUUGGUGAGGUAACGGCUCACCAAGGCGACGAUCAGUAGCUGGUCUGAGAGGAUGAUCAGCCACACUGGGACUGAGACACGGCCCAGACUCCUACGGGAGGCAGCAGUGGGGAAUAUUGGACAAUGGGGGCAACCCUGAUCCAGCCAAGCCGCGUGAGUGAUGAAGGCCUUGGGGUUGUAAAGCUCUUUUGUCCAGGAAGAUAAUGACGGUACCGGAAGAAUAAGCCCCGGCUAACUUCGUGCCAGCCGCCGCAGUAA